AUGCCUCCCAAGCUCGACCCGUCCCAGAUCGUGGAGGUGUAUGUCCGCGUCACCGGCGGGGAGGUCGGCGCUGCGUCGUCCCUGGCCCCCAAGAUCGGCCCGCUCGGUCUCUCCCCAAAGAAGAUCGGAGAAGACAUCGCCAAGGAGACGGCCAAGGACUGGAAGGGCCUCCGCGUCACCGUCAAGCUCACCGUGCAGAAUCGCCAGGCCAAGGUGUCCGUCGUCCCCUCCGCCGCAGCCCUCGUCAUCAAGGCGCUCAAGGAGCCCGAGAGGGACCGCAAGAAGGUCAAGAACAUCAAGCACAGCGGCAACAUCAGCCUCGACGACGUCAUCGAGAUCGCCAAGAUCAUGAAGGUCCGCUCCAUGGCCAAGGAGAUGGCCGGCACCGUCAAGGAGAUCCUUGGCACCUGCGUCAGCGUCGGCUGCACCGUCGACGGCAAGGACCCCAAGGAUCUGCAGACGGAGAUCGACGACGGCGAGGUGGAGAUCCCCGCUUAA
RNAcentral lists this ribosomal RNA (498 nucleotides) under Triticum aestivum (bread wheat). Its description in RNAcentral is "partial small subunit ribosomal RNA". Lineage: Eukaryota; Viridiplantae; Streptophyta; Magnoliopsida; Poales; Poaceae. The record is from RNAcentral.